Long non-coding RNA from Culex quinquefasciatus (southern house mosquito), 468 nucleotides. RefSeq lists it as uncharacterized. NCBI's taxonomy places the organism in Eukaryota, Metazoa, Arthropoda, Insecta, Diptera, Culicidae. The transcript has 3 exons. The record is from RefSeq and is a predicted model, not a curated record.
ACUUGCAACAGAGACCACAAAAGACCCGGGGGUCGUUAAAGUGGAUUACUUUUUGCAGGGUCACGAGCAUCAGUUGCAAAAGCUGCAGGACGAGCUGGACCCAGCAACGGCAGCAGCACGAGGCUUCUCGCCUGGCAGAAUCGAAGAAACAGCAUGCCACCUGCCAAAAACUACAGCCGCUCAUCAUCGGCGGUUGACAGAUCAAAGAGGCCGAGCCAGCUGAUGUCGCACACACACCACAAUGCGGCGGGCCCACAGCUUGACUGCACACAAAAAAAUAUUACGAAUGUGCAAUUGAUCCUAUAGAGGCAUACUCCUGUAUUACCCACUCAAAUAAAACGAGCAAAAUAGAUUUAUCAAAUCUAUCAAAUAAUCUCACCGAGCAAUCCACCGUGGUAAACAAUAUUGUUUACAAAGAGGACUUAGUGAAAAUUUUGGUGGCAGCUUGUUUUUCAAUUAAUUCGUUUA